Molecule: ribosomal RNA, 380 nt
Filed under: uncultured bacterium
Lineage: Bacteria
Description: bacterial SSU rRNA
Rfam family: Bacterial small subunit ribosomal RNA
Source: RNAcentral
AACGAACGCUGGCGGCGUGGAUAAGACAUGCAAGUCGAACGGGAUAACAUCUGUAGCAAUACAGGUGUUAUUUAGUGGCGAACGGGUGCGUAACACGUGGGCAAUCUGCCGAGAAGUGGGGGAUAGCUCGCCGAAAGGCGAAUUAAUACCGCAUAUGAUCAGCUAAGACAUCUUAGCGACAUCAAAGCCGGGGUAACCUGGCGCUUCUUGAUGAGCCCGCGGCCAUCAGCUAGUUGGUGAGGUAACGGCUCACCAAGGCUAUGACGGGUAGCUGGUCUGAGAGGACGACCAGUCACACUGGAACUGAGACACGGUCCAGACACCUACGGGUGGCAGCAGUCGAGAAUUUUUCUCAAUGGGGAAACCCUGAAGGAGCGACG